Molecule: RNA transcript, 2480 nt
Organism: Empidonax traillii (willow flycatcher)
Lineage: Eukaryota; Metazoa; Chordata; Aves; Passeriformes; Tyrannidae
Gene: FSIP1
Gene name: fibrous sheath interacting protein 1
Exons: 14
Source: RefSeq, a predicted model, not a curated record
GCGGCUCCGCGGGUCCUGCCGCCCUCCCGCGGCGACAACGGGGCUCCCGUGUCCCGCCCACCUUCCCUCCCCAAAAAUCCACGGGUGUUGUGGGCCCUGCCGCUGGCAGAGGCCUCGUGUAGGCCAGAACUCCUCAGGGAAUCGGGAGGGUCCCGGCUGGCCGCGGUGGGAAGCGGGGCGGCAGCUUCAUCGGCCGCGGAGGCACGUGGUGAUUGGUGUGAAGAGGCCUCUGCGGGGGAUGAGCCCGGGAUGCACGAGGUAAUAAUGGACAUCACAAGUGGGAAUGCGGAUGACAUUUCAAGGCCUGCAUCUGGCUCAAAACCCAGUUGUAGAUCUUUAAAUACAUCUAUGGAGUUACUAACACCAGAGCCACAUAUGCAAAAGGUUGAUUCACUUGUCAGUGUGGCUGAUGGUUAUCAGAGAGGCAGUCUAGAAGAUUGCUGUCCAGCAAAAAACAAAAGAGAGAAAUGUGAUGUCCAGGAAGUAAGAACAGAUCAGCAAACCACAAUGGAGAGUAUGACCUUCUGUCUUCAGAAAUGUAUACAGAAUCCCAACGAGUUGUCAGGAUGUAGCUCUAAUUCAGAUUGUGGAGACACUGAAACACAGACUCUGACAUUCUGUGAACCUUCCCAAGGAAAACCAAGUGAUGCAAAAUCAGCAAACUUGAAGUGUUCUGAAGACACAGAUGUAGAUCCUCAGAUUCAAGCAGCUAUAAAGAAAAUGAAUAAACUUGACACAAUACUUGAAAACCAACAUCUUAAGGAGAAAGGAAUUAAAAAACAAGGCAAAGAAAUGAGGGCAGUGCUCUGGGAAGAACUUCAGUCUAUCAGAACCAUAGGAGGCCAUGAGGAGAUAGAAAACACAAACAGUUUUUUAGCUUUGUUCUCAACAUGGCAGGAUACAGCUGAUCCCUCCCAUACUAAAGAAAAUGAAAUAUGUACUUCAGUAAUUCACACACAAAUGAAUCCAGAAGAUUGUGAUUGUCAUAAAGCCCAAAAAAGCAAGGAUUAUCCAAGUGAAUUAGAAACAGAAUUAGAAAAAACAGUGGAGAAAACACAUAGCAAAAAUAAAAGCAACCAGGAUUUCAUUAAAAAGAACAUUGAGCUAGCAAAGGAUUCAGGAAACCAGUUUGUUAUGCUUGAGGGAGAAAGGAAAAGGCUAAUUGAACUGUUGAAAGAUACAGAAGAUGACAUUGAAUUGCAAGGUCUUGAGGAGAAUGUAUCUGUCUGGCUAGCCCCAGGAGAAGGGUACACACCUGAACCGACAGAAUUUCAUCUCCUAAAUGAAAUAGACAUUAAGCUUCAAGCACUACUAUCUGAUGGGGAUUUUUCUGCAAUUUCCAGCCCUUACUCAAAAGCUCCAAGCCAGAUUUAUCAGGAGUCUCUGGUUUAUGCCAACAGAAGCCUAGAAACAGUUCCAGGUGAAAAGGUUCUCCGGGACAAUAAGGAAAAACGUGAUCAACAGAAUCGUCUGAAAGAAAUAGAUCACCAACUGGAAUCCCUAGAGAGAAAUCUUACCGAAGAACAAAUGAGCCUCUCUGAAGAGCAGCUUAAGACCCUUCUGGAAGAAUGUGUGCAGCCUCAGAGAACAAUAAGUUACGUUACCAUGCCAAAGUCUCAGGAAUCUCUUUCUUUUGGAUUAAGUCCCCCUUGUUACACAAGUCAAGACUCCACUCUUCACUCCACAUCUACUCUUUCCAAAAUGUUAGUUGAAGACCAUAUUGUAGAGAUGUUAAUGGCUCAGGAAAAGGCUGGACUCGAAGACAAAAGCUUGUGUGCAGAGAGUGAAAUCCCUGGCUACUAUAUCGGCAAAGCAUUGGCUGGUAGUCACUUAUCAAAGGAUUCACUGGCCCAAACAGAGGAACCUGAUGACCUAGAAGGUUUACAGAAGAUGGGAGAUAAGAGUAUUACUGAAGGUUACUUUAUGUCAAGAGCACUCAACACAAAAAGAUUGAAGAAACCUUCUUUCCUGGAUGAACCAUUAUAUUGCAUCAGCAUGAACAAUGAGCCAUGCACAGAGGCUGACAUUCCCAGCAUACCACUGCAAACCAAAGGAGAUUUUUAGCCUAAGACUACUUCUCUUCCUGUAAAGCCAGCUGUUCAAAUAAGCCAGAUUUUAGGCAGGUGAUAUGAACACUGAAAAUUGAGGGGAGAGUGACUGUAUGCUUCUUUGCACAACUAUUUUUCUGCGAGUGUGGUUAAACCUCCAUCAGUGAUAUUAUUCUGAUUCAGUGUAAUUUCAAGGAACCUGAAGGGUAUGAAUUAUCAUCAUUGCAAAUGUUCCAUGAGUUGACUUAUUCUUAAAAGAGAUAAUUAUUAUUAUCAUUAUUAUACAGUGUUGAAGUUUGAUUUCAAAAUAAACUCUUGCAUUUCAUUAAAUACCUAAGAAAUAAAUGUACGCACACAAUUUUGUAGCUGUGCGUCUGAUAGAUAUGCAUGUCUUUGUUUGUGAAAAAUGUAAAAUAAAACUUGGAAAGUUCA